RNAcentral lists this transfer RNA (72 nucleotides) under Habropoda laboriosa. RNAcentral describes it as "tRNA-Asp". It matches the Rfam family "tRNA". From Rfam's summary of the family: Transfer RNA (tRNA) molecules are approximately 80 nucleotides in length. Their secondary structure includes four short double-helical elements and three loops (D, anti-codon, and T loops). The record is from Rfam by way of RNAcentral. RNAcentral also lists the same sequence under 1 other name. Lineage: Eukaryota; Metazoa; Arthropoda; Insecta; Hymenoptera; Apidae.
UCCUCGUUAGUAUAGUGGUUAGUAUCUCCGCCUGUCACGCGGAAGACCGGGGUUCGAUUCCCCGACGGGGAG